CCCCGGUCCGUCCCCCCAGACCCUGUUGAUCCCUCCUGUGGGCAACGCUGAAAUUCGCGAGCGCGCCUCUUCUCGCCCUCCCUGCUCUCCCUGCUAAUGUACAGUGAUACACUUUCACUCCCAGGCCCCUGCUCACGCGCUCUCUCGCUCAAAAAAAGGAUGAAUGGAUAAACAAGUAUGGUACACGUCUACAGUGCGAUAUUAUUCAGCCUUAAAAUGGAAGGAAAUUCUGACACUGCUACCAUGAGGACGAACCCUGUGGUUGCACAAGAGGUGAAUGGACAUCGCGCCAGUGAACUCUAUACUUCAAAAUGGUACACGUUCAACCUCUGGCGCGGAAUUUAUGCCCACGGCACACUGCAGUUUGGACCAGCCACGUUUUCCAGUGCCCAACAGCUACGUGCGGCUCCUCUGCUGAGCAGCUGUGCCUCUCACCCGUUCCCAACC
This is a long non-coding RNA of Mirounga angustirostris (Northern elephant seal), 447 nucleotides long. RefSeq lists it as uncharacterized. NCBI's taxonomy places the organism in Eukaryota, Metazoa, Chordata, Mammalia, Carnivora, Phocidae. The transcript has 3 exons. The record is from RefSeq and is a predicted model, not a curated record.